Molecule: ribosomal RNA, 223 nt
Filed under: Triticum aestivum (bread wheat)
Lineage: Eukaryota; Viridiplantae; Streptophyta; Magnoliopsida; Poales; Poaceae
Description: partial small subunit ribosomal RNA
Source: RNAcentral
UAUAUAUGAGAGGUCUAGGAUACAAGUGUCCUACUUGGACACGACUCCAUAUCCUGUCUACACACCGUAUGACUCCAAGUCCAACUGUAACCUAACUUGUACAAUAAUAUUCGACACAACUCUAACAAACUCCACCUUGGUGAAUAUUCUCCACCACCUUGAAUUCGUCAGUGCGUCGAACCUCCAUGUACAUUGGACUUGAGAUACGUCAUGAGCACCGCUG